GGCGAACGGGUGAGUAACACGUGAGUAACCUGCCCUUAACUCUGGGAUAAGCCUGGGAAACUGGGUCUAAUACCGGAUAGGAGCGUCUACCGCAUGGUGGGUGUUGGAAAGAUUUAUCGGUUUUGGAUGGACUCGCGGCCUAUCAGCUUGUUGGUGAGGUAAUGGCUCACCAAGGCGACGACGGGUAGCCGGCCUGAGAGGGUGACCGGCCACACUGGGACUGAGACACGGCCCAGACUCCUACGGGAGGCAGCAGUGGGGAAUAUUGCACAAUGGGCGCAAGCCUGAUGCAGCGACGCCGCGUGAGGGAUGACGGCCUUCGGGUUGUAAACCUCUUUCAGUAGGGAAGAAGCGAAAGUGACGGUACCUGCAGAAGAAGCACCGGCUAACUACGUGCCAGCAGCCGCGGUAAUACGUAGGGUGCGAGCGUUAUCCGGAAUUAUUGGGCGUAAAGAGCUCGUAGGCGGUUUGUCGCGUCUGUCGUGAAAGUCCGGGGCUUAACCCCGGAUCUGCGGUGGGUACGGGCAGACUAGAGUGCAGUAGGGGAGACUGGAAUUCCUGGUGUAGCGGUGGAAUGCGCAGAUAUCAGGAGGAACACCGAUGGCGAAGGCAGGUCUCUGGGCUGUAACUGACGCUGAGGAGCGAAAGCAUGGGGAGCGAACAGGAUUAGAUACCCUGGUAGUCCAUGCCGUAAACGUUGGGCACUAGGUGUGGGGACCAUUCCACGGUUUCCGCGCCGCAGCUAACGCAUUAAGUGCCCCGCCUGGGGAGUACGGCCGCAAGGCUAAAACUCAAAGGAAUUGACGGGGGCCCGCACAAGCGGCGGAGCAUGCGGAUUAAUUCGAUGCAACGCGAAGAACCUUACCAAGGCUUGACAUGUUCUCGAUCGCCGUAGAGAUACGGUUUCCCCCUUUGGGGCGGGUUCACAGGUGGUGCAUGGUUGUCGUCAGCUCGUGUCGUGAGAUGUUGGGUUAAGUCCCGCAACGAGCGCAACCCUCGUUCCAUGUUGCCAGCACGUA
RNAcentral lists this ribosomal RNA (1019 nucleotides) under Micrococcus luteus. RNAcentral's name for it is "bacterial SSU rRNA". It matches the Rfam family "Bacterial small subunit ribosomal RNA", at positions 97 to 1127 of the family's 1533-position model. Lineage: Bacteria; Bacillati; Actinomycetota; Actinomycetes; Micrococcales; Micrococcaceae. The record is from RNAcentral.